ACGGCGAGUGAAGCGGCAAUAGCUUAAUCGAUAAUCUCAGUCCUCUUGGUCUGCGAAUUGUAGUCUUGUCGGUUGACCGGCGUAGGAUGACGGCAAAUCCGAUGGAAAUCGAGAUCAUAGAGGGUGAGAAUCCCGUGUGCCUGUCAUUCCGGCGCUAUUGUUUAAGCGACUUUCGAGUAGCGUUCCUUGGGACUGGAGCGUGAAGUGGGAGGUGAUAUCCUUCUAAAGCUAAAUAUUGGCGAGAGACCGAUAGCGAACAAGUACCGUGAGGGAAAGAUGAAAAGCACUUUGGAGAGAGAGUUAAACAGUAUGUGAAAUCGUUGGAAGCAAGCGAAUCAGUGGGUUUCGGUACGGCCCUGGGCUUCUGUGCCGGAUCGGGUCCUAGUCCUUCAUCGGAUCAGGCCCUUUCCAUAAGCGCCGGUGUCUGGGGUGAGGUUUUGGUGCCGUUACACUCUCUGAUCCGACCCGUCUUGAAACACGGACCAAGGAGUCUAGUAUGUGUGCGAGUACGCGGGUGGCAAACCUAGGUGCGUAGGCAACUCAAAUCGCGUUAG
RNAcentral lists this ribosomal RNA (554 nucleotides) under Polypleuris gigantea. RNAcentral's name for it is "Nassellaria sp. MMS-2019c partial large subunit ribosomal RNA". It matches the Rfam family "Eukaryotic large subunit ribosomal RNA", at positions 86 to 738 of the family's 3401-position model. The record is from RNAcentral. Lineage: Eukaryota; Polycystinea; Nassellaria; Plectopyramididae.